Molecule: transfer RNA, 76 nt
Filed under: Mycobacteroides immunogenum
Lineage: Bacteria; Bacillati; Actinomycetota; Actinomycetes; Mycobacteriales; Mycobacteriaceae
Description: tRNA-Arg
Rfam family: tRNA
About the family: Transfer RNA (tRNA) molecules are approximately 80 nucleotides in length. Their secondary structure includes four short double-helical elements and three loops (D, anti-codon, and T loops). Further hydrogen bonds mediate the characteristic L-shaped molecular structure. tRNAs have two regions of fundamental functional importance: the anti-codon, which is responsible for specific mRNA codon recognition, and the 3' end, to which the tRNAs corresponding amino acid is attached (by aminoacyl-tRNA synthetases). tRNAs cope with the degeneracy of the genetic code in two manners: having more than one tRNA (with a specific anti-codon) for a particular amino acid; and 'wobble' base-pairing, i.e. permitting non-standard base-pairing at the 3rd anti-codon position.
Source: RNAcentral
GCCCCUGUAGCGCAACGGAUAGCGCACCGGUUUCCGGGACCGGAGGUUGUGGGUUCGAAUCCCGCCGGGGGCGCCG